AUGAAAAUCGAGUUCAAAAUGAGCUUUAAACCUUCAAAUAAAACUCAGGCAGCAACUAUGCACAUUAAACAAAGCUUUAAAAAUUCAAUCUCAAACAUGGUUAGCGCAAAAGGAAAUAACACAGUAAUGCCACCUACAUUAACUCUUGAAUUCAAACUCGAAUUGUCACCAAAAUACUAUUCAAAUCUUCUUUAA
Molecule: non-coding RNA, 195 nt
Organism: Vicia faba (fava bean)
Lineage: Eukaryota; Viridiplantae; Streptophyta; Magnoliopsida; Fabales; Fabaceae
Source: the annotation of a GenBank genome assembly